UACGUAGGGGGCGAGCGUUGUCCGGAUUCAUUGGGCGUAAAGAGCUCGUAGGCGGCUUGGCAAGUCGGGUGUGAAAUCUCCAGGCUCAACCUGGAGUCGCCACUCGAUACUGCCAUGGCUAGAGUCCGGUAGGGGACCAUGGAAUUCCUGGUGUAGCGGUGAAAUGCGCAGAUAUCAGGAGGAACACCAGUGGCGAAGGCGGUGGUCUGGGCCGGAACUGACGCUGAGGAGCGAAAGCGUGGGGAGCGAACAGGAUUAGAUACCCUUGUAGUCC
This 274-nucleotide ribosomal RNA is filed under the name uncultured Acidimicrobiales bacterium. RNAcentral describes it as "partial 16S ribosomal RNA". It matches the Rfam family "Bacterial small subunit ribosomal RNA", at positions 524 to 796 of the family's 1533-position model. Lineage: Bacteria; Bacillati; Actinomycetota; Acidimicrobiia; Acidimicrobiales. The record is from RNAcentral.